AUGCAAGUCGAGGGGCAGCAUAAUCGAAGCUUGCUUUGAUUGAUGGCGACCGGCGCACGGGUGAGUAACGCGUAUCCAACCUCCCCAUAGUAGGGCAUAGCCCGUAGAAAUGCGGAUUAAUACCCUAUGUUUUCCUUUGCAGGCAUCUAACGAGGAAUAAAGGUUUACCGCUAUGGGAUGGGGAUGCGUCUGAUUAGGUUGCAGGCGGGGUAACGGCCCACCUGGCCUACGAUCAGUAGGGGUUCUGAGAGGAAGGUCCCCCACACUGGUACUGAGACACGGACCAGACUCCUACGGGAGGCAGCAGUGAGGAAUAUUGGUCAAUGGACGAGAGUCUGAACCAGCCAAGUAGCGUGCAGGACGACUGCCCUAUGGGUUGUAAACUGCUUUUAUGCGGGAAUAAAGUGAGGCACGUGUGCCUUUUUGUAUGUACCGCAUGAA
RNAcentral lists this ribosomal RNA (441 nucleotides) under uncultured rumen bacterium. Its description in RNAcentral is "bacterial SSU rRNA". It matches the Rfam family "Bacterial small subunit ribosomal RNA", at positions 55 to 486 of the family's 1533-position model. The record is from RNAcentral.